AUACGGAGGGAGCAAGCGUUAUUCGGAAUCACUGGGCGUAAAGGACGCGUAGGCGGGUUUGUAAGUCAGGUGUGAAAUCCUACAGCUCAACUGUAGAACUGCACUUGAAACUACAGACCUAGAGUAUGGAUGGGGCAGAUGGAAUUAGUGGUGUAGGGGUAAAAUCCGUAGAUAUCACUAGGAAUACCGAAAGCGAAGGCGAUCUGCUGGGACAUUACUGACGCUGAGGCGUGAAAGCGUGGGGAGCAAACAGGAUUAGAAACCCCAGUAGUCC
RNAcentral lists this ribosomal RNA (274 nucleotides) under uncultured bacterium. RNAcentral's name for it is "partial 16S ribosomal RNA". It matches the Rfam family "Bacterial small subunit ribosomal RNA", at positions 523 to 796 of the family's 1533-position model. The record is from RNAcentral.